AUAGUUUGAUCCUGGCUCAAAACAAACGCUGGCGGCAGGCUUAACACAUGCAAGUCGAGCGCCCUGCUUGCUGGUAGCGGCAUACGGGCGACUAACGCCUGGGAACCUACCUGGGGGUAUGCAAUAACCCAGGGAAACUUGUGCUAAUACCAUAUAAACCCCCCUUUGCAUACCUUGGCGGUGAAAAAUUUAUCGCCAUCAAAGGGGCCUCCUCUUGAUAACUACCUUUUUGAGAUAACUCCUCUCCUGAGUAACUAUUCAUAGCUGUACAGACCUGAUGAUCCGACACUCUGGACCUGACAUAAGAGCCAUAUUCCUCAGACAGGCACUGAGACUCAAUCCAUACUCCUACGCGAAGGCCCUGAUUGAGCAAUCUCUGCAUAAUGUGACUAAAGCCUGUAUCCAUUAUACUGCUCUUUGUCAGGAGUGAAUGAUCUUCGCCAUUGUCCUACUUUCAGUAAUCGUACGGGACUAAAUUUCACUUUUGGCUUAAUCACCCAUAAUUCCCUUUAGAGCGGUUACCUUCUCUUACUGAAAGACUCUCCUUUAUUAUAUUUCCAAUCGCGCGGCUUAAGCUAUUGUAUUUAAUUAUCUGUAUAGGGGGCUAAAGAUAUUUAUUUACGCAAUCUCACUUGCGGGUAAUGAACGGUUUCCCUUAAUGUCUUUUCCCUUAUAAAAUUCCAAUGGUGGAAAAAUCCC
RNAcentral lists this ribosomal RNA (699 nucleotides) under uncultured bacterium. RNAcentral describes it as "partial 16S ribosomal RNA". The stretch from base 40 to 333 matches the Rfam family "Bacterial small subunit ribosomal RNA", at positions 47 to 358 of the family's 1533-position model. The record is from RNAcentral.